GACGAACGCUGGCGGCGUGCUUAACACAUGCAAGUCGAGCGGUAAGGCCCUUUCGGGGGUACGACGAGCGGCGAACGGGUGAGUAACACGUGGGUGACCUGCCUCUAGCUCUGGGAUAAGCCCGGGAAACUGGGUCUAAUACUGGAUAUGACUCCAUGACGCAUGUUGUGGGGUGGAAAGCCUUGUGCGGCUAGAGAUGGGCCCGCGGCCUAUCAGCUUGUUGGUGGGGUGAUGGCCUACCAAGGCGACGACGGGUAGCCGGCCUGAGAGGCGACCGGCCACACUGGGACUGAGACACGGCCCAGACUCCUACGGGAGGCAG
Molecule: ribosomal RNA, 322 nt
Filed under: uncultured bacterium
Lineage: Bacteria
Description: bacterial SSU rRNA
Rfam family: Bacterial small subunit ribosomal RNA
Source: RNAcentral